UUGAUAUUCCAGUACCACUACCAUCGUUAUUAUCGAUGGCGUGACGCAGGAGGAUAGUGUGUGCUAGCUAUUGGAUGCUAGUCUAAGCGUUUAGGCAGUGAGAGUAGGCAAAUCCGCUCUCAUAAUGCUGAGGCGUGAUGGGGAAGGUUCUACGGAACCGAAGUACAUGAUUCCACGCUGCCAAGAAAAGCGUCUAGAGAGAGAAGUAGUGCCC
This 214-nucleotide ribosomal RNA is filed under the name Clostridium perfringens. RNAcentral's name for it is "partial 23S ribosomal RNA". It matches the Rfam family "Bacterial large subunit ribosomal RNA", at positions 1430 to 1643 of the family's 2925-position model. Lineage: Bacteria; Bacillati; Bacillota; Clostridia; Eubacteriales; Clostridiaceae. The record is from RNAcentral.